RNAcentral lists this ribosomal RNA (773 nucleotides) under uncultured Neocallimastigales. RNAcentral describes it as "partial large subunit ribosomal RNA". It matches the Rfam family "Eukaryotic large subunit ribosomal RNA", at positions 26 to 634 of the family's 3401-position model. The record is from RNAcentral. Lineage: Eukaryota; Fungi; Neocallimastigomycota; Neocallimastigomycetes; Neocallimastigales.
CGCAUCUGUGCAUGCAGCAUAUCAAUAAGCGGAGGAAAAGAAACUAACAAGGAUUCCCCUAGUAACGGCGAGUGAAGCGGGAAGAGCUCAAAUUUGAAAUCUUAAAGGGUUUCCCUUUACGAAUUGUAGUUUAAAGAAGUGUUUUCUGUUGAGGUUUUGGUAAAAGUUCUUUGGAAUAGGACAUCAUAGAGGGUGAGAAUCCCGUAUUUGACCUUUACUUUCAACUUUGUGAUACACUUUCAAAGAGUCGGAUUGUUUGGGAAUGCAGUCCAAAAUGGGUGGUAAAUUUCAUCUAAAGCUAAAUAUUGGCGAGAGACCGAUAGCGAACAAGUACCGUGAGGGAAAGAUGAAAAGAACUUUGAAAAGAGAGUUAAACAGUACGUGAAAUUGUCAAAAGGGAAGCGUUUGACACCAGUGUUGUUUUUCUGAAAAUCAAUUAAAGAACUGUUUAUGCUAAGUUGUUUAGACUUUAUCAGCUAACUGUUUAGUUUUGAGCUUUUCUUUAAUGCACUUUUCAGUUAACAAGUCAACAUCAAUUUCUUUUGCUGUAAAAAAGCUUGAGGAAGGUGGCUUGAGAUUCGUCUUAAGUGUUUAUAGCCUCUUGCCUAUGCAGUCGGAGAGAUUGAGGUCUGCAGCGUAGACCCUUCGGGGCUAAAUGCAUUUGUGCUAAGUUAUAGCAUUUUAUAGACAACUUGUUGACUAUGAUUUGUCUUGUAGCUUACUCGCUUAUGUUAUUUUACCUACGCUUAGGAUGUGAAGAUGUAGCACAUCAU